This 449-nucleotide ribosomal RNA is filed under the name uncultured soil bacterium. Its description in RNAcentral is "bacterial SSU rRNA". It matches the Rfam family "Bacterial small subunit ribosomal RNA", at positions 26 to 478 of the family's 1533-position model. The record is from RNAcentral.
AGGACGAACGCUGGCGGCGUGCUUAACACAUGCAAGUCGAGCGGUAAGGCCUUUCGGGGUACACGAGCUGCGAACGGGUGAGUAACACGUGGGUGAUCUGCCCUGCACUUCGGGAUAAGCCUGGGAAACUGGGUCUAAUGCCGGAUAUGACCUCAGGUUGCAUGACUUGGGGUGGAAAGAUUUAUCGGUGCAGGAUGGGCCCGCGGCCUAUCAGCUUGUUGGUGGGUAAUGGCCUACCAAGGCGACGACGGGUAGCCGACCUGAGAGGGUGACCGGCCACGACGUGGGACUGAGACACGGCCCAGACUCCUACGGGAGGCAGCAGUGGGGAAUAUUGCACAAGUGGGCGAAAGCCUGAUGCAGCGACGCCGCGUGAGGAUGGACCGGUCCGUUCGGGUUACGUAAACCCGUUCCGUUUACGAACGCGUAACGGGACCGAAGGACCGACG